AACGAACGCUGGCGGCGCGUCUUAAACAUGCAAGUCGGACGAGAAGCUUGGUGCUUGCACCGAGUGGACAGUGGCGAACGGGUGAGUAACACGUGGAUAAUCUACCUUUAGGAUGGGGACAACUACUGGAAACGGUAGCUAAUACCGAAUAACAUGGUUUUUGCAUAGGUGAAGAUCAUUAAAGGCGGGGACCUUCGGGCCUGCCACCUAAAGAUGAGUCCGCGGCCCAUUAGCUAGUUGGUGGGGUAAAAGCCUACCAAGGCAACGAUGGGUAGCCGGCCUGAGAGGGUGAACGGCCACAUUGGGACUGAGACACGGCCCAG
RNAcentral lists this ribosomal RNA (323 nucleotides) under uncultured bacterium. RNAcentral describes it as "bacterial SSU rRNA". It matches the Rfam family "Bacterial small subunit ribosomal RNA", at positions 29 to 334 of the family's 1533-position model. The record is from RNAcentral.